UUCAAUUUUGUAACAAAGUUUCUUAAUUUACAAUAAAUUUGCCAAUCUGAUUUUAAUCCUGAUAGCAACGCCAUUUGUUUGGCCAGAUCUCUUUCUUUCAUUUAGCAAGAUGGUAGAUGGAAAAAU
Molecule: long non-coding RNA, 126 nt
Organism: Melanotaenia boesemani (Boeseman's rainbowfish)
Lineage: Eukaryota; Metazoa; Chordata; Actinopteri; Atheriniformes; Melanotaeniidae
Exons: 4
Source: RefSeq, a predicted model, not a curated record